This 484-nucleotide ribosomal RNA is filed under the name uncultured bacterium. RNAcentral describes it as "partial 16S ribosomal RNA". It matches the Rfam family "Bacterial small subunit ribosomal RNA", at positions 28 to 523 of the family's 1533-position model. The record is from RNAcentral.
GACGAACGCUGGCGGCGUGCUUAACCCAUGCAAGUCGAACGAUGAAUCCGGAGCCUGCUCUGGUGACUUAGUGGCGAACGGGUGAGUAACACGUGAGAAACCUGCUCUUGACUCUGGGAUAACUGCGGGAAACUGUAGCUAAUACAGGAGACGAUCCCCUGUAGCAUCUCCUGGGGGUGGAUAGUAUUUCGGUCAAGGAUGGACGCUGGGCCUAUGAGCUAGUUGGUGAGGUAAAGGCUCACGAAGGUGGCGACGGGUAGGCGGCCUGAGAGGGUGACCAGGCACACUGGGACUGAGACACGCACCAGACUCGUACGGGAGGCAGCAGUGGGGAAUAUUGCACAAUGGGCGCAAGUCUGAUGCAGCAUCGCCGCGUGAGGGAUGACGGCCUUCGGGUUGAAAACCUCUUUUAGCAGGGAAGAAGCGAAAGUGACGGUACCUGCAGAAAAAGCACCGGCUAACUACGUGCCAGCCGCCGCGGUAA